Molecule: non-coding RNA, 981 nt
Organism: Misgurnus anguillicaudatus (oriental weatherfish)
Lineage: Eukaryota; Metazoa; Chordata; Actinopteri; Cypriniformes; Cobitidae
Source: RefSeq, a predicted model, not a curated record
UGGACAGUAACGAAGUAAAUGUAAUUCGUUACUGUACUUAAGUAGUUUUUUUGCGUAUCUGUACUUUACUCAAGUACUUUUAUUUUGGGAGACUUUUACUUUUACUUUACUACAUUUUAAAGUCAAAUAUCUUACUUUUUACUCAACUACAUUUUGAAAAUUCGGUCGUUCCUUUUUAUUUAUCAGUGGAUAAAAAUACUUAACUGGACAAACUACAGCUGCACAAAAAAAAUAAUAAGAUGCACGCGUGACACGUCAAACCACCAAUCAGGGUACAGCAUGCGCUUUGUUUUAAACUUGUUUUGGUUGCCGCGCUGGUUCACGUAAGCUACGCAAGUGCAGCAGUCAGCGUAUCGUUUGGAGAAUAAAUCCGCAUUCACAAACAACGGAGGAAAUAACUUGACCCGCCACAACAACAAUGGCCUUAUUUACGCUAGUUUUUAAAGUCCUUGAAUAAAAGAACGAGUCCUUUGUGUCUUCUCUGCCUGCCUUGAAACUGUGCUAUUUCUUUUAACAAGAACACUCCUUCAAAUCUAAGAAAACGCGUAGAGAGAAAGCAUGGUAGCCAACAUUAAAAGGUAUGUUACUGUAAAAUCAUCAAGGAAAAGAAACCUGGAAAGUGAGGAGGCUCCAUCAACCUCCAGAUAGUAAAAGAAAACUCCUGUGAACCUGUGCUUAAUUCAAGUUUUUACUACACUUAGGGGUGGUUUCCCGGACAGGGAUUAGCUUAAGCCAGGACUAGGCCGUAGUUUAAUUAGGAAAUAUAACUAGUUUUAACAAACAUGCCUUACUAAAAACGUUACCUGUGUGCAUUUUGAAGUAAAAUAAAGGGCCCUGAUGUAUUUUAAGAUAUGUAAGUGUAAGUUGUUUUCAGUUUGGACAGCUCUUUCAUUUAUUUUAGUCUAGGACUAGUCUAAUCUCUGUCCGGGAAACUGCCCCUUAAACUGUUAAAUAAUUUAACAAAUAAAUCUUGAAAUGAGA